AGCAGCCGCGGUAAUUCCAGCUCCAAUAGCGUAUAUUAAAGUUGUUGCAGUUAAAAAGCUCGUAGUUGAAUUUCGGGAUUGACGUGAUGGUCGUGCCUUAAGGGGUAUGAACUGUUGCUGUUGAUUUCUCACCUUCUGGAGAAACUUGAUGUCCUUAAUUGGGUGUCUUGCGGAUCCAGGACCUUUACCUUGAAAAAAUUAGAGUGUUUAAAGCAGGCAUUUUGCUCGAAUACAUUAGCAUGGAAUAAUAGAAUAGGACGGCAUGGUUCUAUUUUGUUGGUUUCUAGGAUCACCGUAAUGAUUAAUAGGGAUAGUUGGGGGCAUUAGUAUUCAAUUGUCAGAGGUGAAAUUCUUGGAUUUAUUGAAGACUAACUACUGCGAAAGCAUUUGCCAAGGAUGUUUUCAUUAAUCAAGAACGAAAGUUAGGGGAUCGAAGACGAUCAGAUACCGUCGUAGUCUUAACCAUAAACUAUGCCGACUAG
This 482-nucleotide ribosomal RNA is filed under the name uncultured Entrophospora. Its description in RNAcentral is "SSU rRNA". It matches the Rfam family "Eukaryotic small subunit ribosomal RNA", at positions 569 to 1049 of the family's 1831-position model. Lineage: Eukaryota; Fungi; Glomeromycota; Glomeromycetes; Entrophosporales; Entrophosporaceae. The record is from RNAcentral.